CAGUUAUGGCAGUGGGAGUCGAAGCGAGGGUCUGAAGUUCACGACUACUAGAAGGGGAGGGGAGUGGAAAGGCUCUCAGUGAAAAAGGUAUUAGAAUUAUUUCUGAAUUAUCAGUCUCUCAUUUGUGCUUUGGAGAAGCAGAAAAGGCAAAAGGGGUCUUUGGCCAUCUUCUGCUGGAGCUUCCAGGGAGGAUGUGUCUCCAAGAGACCAGAUGUACCGAGUUUGAAAUCCCAGAAGCCCAAGAGGAAAAGAAUCACAGGGAGGAAAAGACUGUCCAAAGGCUUCUGGAGUCUUCUGUUCUCUAACCUUGGAAGGUUUUGAACAAUAUUUCUCAGAGGAUAGCCUUUCACUUAUUCAUCUGUCCAGCAUGACUCAUCCCCGGGAGUGUUGAUGUCUGUCUUCACCAAGAAGGACGACUUUGAUUGGCUGUAAUUGGCCACUGUUGCUAAUGGAGUAGAGAGAGUCUUGCUACAUGCGGGAACUAGAAUUACAUCACUGCGUUUUUUGGCUUUGUUUCUUCAAUGGGUUGUAGUGUAUGAAUAUUAUUACAAAAUAAAAUGAUUUAAAAAUAUCCA
This 575-nucleotide long non-coding RNA is filed under the name Homo sapiens (human). RNAcentral describes it as "chromosome 8 putative open reading frame 44". The record is from RNAcentral. Lineage: Eukaryota; Metazoa; Chordata; Mammalia; Primates; Hominidae.